GUACCUUUCUUGGCUGAUCCCUUUCGCUGUAUGGCGUGCUCGUUUGGGUUGGGCGUCGGCUAAGAGUGCUCGGAGCUUGGAUUAACUCCAGUCGCCAAUCAGGCGAUUGAUUUUGGAAACGUUUCAACUUCAACUCGUAACAGGUAGAUGCGAUAAAUACGAUAAGAUCGGUGUUUGGAUCGAUGGAACAGGUAAUACCCAAGCUUAGAUAGUUUAGAGCUACAAGGGACUCGGAGAUGGCCACACUACUGUUUCUGUUUCUUUUAAUUGCAAUAAGUAGCCGAUUUAUUUCUUUAUAAGUUUUAUCUUAUUAAUAUUAUUGUUUGGCUUUGAGUUGUAAUAAGGCCAUUUUAAUUAUUUUUCUGGGAUUA
Molecule: long non-coding RNA, 371 nt
Organism: Gossypium arboreum
Lineage: Eukaryota; Viridiplantae; Streptophyta; Magnoliopsida; Malvales; Malvaceae
Exons: 4
Source: RefSeq, a predicted model, not a curated record